RNAcentral lists this ribosomal RNA (453 nucleotides) under uncultured Pseudomonas sp. Its description in RNAcentral is "bacterial SSU rRNA". It matches the Rfam family "Bacterial small subunit ribosomal RNA", at positions 930 to 1382 of the family's 1533-position model. Lineage: Bacteria; Pseudomonadati; Pseudomonadota; Gammaproteobacteria; Pseudomonadales; Pseudomonadaceae. The record is from RNAcentral.
CGGUGGAGCAUGUGGUUUAAUUCGAAGCAACGCGAAGAACCUUACCAGGCCUUGACAUGCAGAGAACUUUCCAGAGAUGGAUUGGUGCCUUCGGGAACUCUGACACAGGUGCUGCAUGGCUGUCGUCAGCUCGUGUCGUGAGGUGUUGGGUUAAGUCCCGUAACGAGCGCAACCCUUGUCCUUAGUUACCAGCACGUUAUGGUGGGCACUCUAAGGAGACUGCCGGUGACAAACCGGAGGAAGGUGGGGAUGACGUCAAGUCAUCAUGGCCCUUACGGCCUGGGCUACACACGUGCUACAAUGGUCGGUACAAAGGGUUGCCAAGCCGCGAGGUGGAGCUAAUCCCAUAAAACCGAUCGUAGUCCGGAUCGCAGUCUGCAACUCGACUGCGUGAAGUCGGAAUCGCUAGUAAUCGUGAAUCAGAAUGUCACGGUGAAUACGUUCCCGGGCCUU